CGUAACCAAGCGACGUUACUAACGUCAACAGUACAGGUUUACUCCUGAAGAUCCCGUAAACGGGUGAAACCAGUCGAGUUACAUUAUUUUAUACUAAUUAAUUGGAUUAGAAUAAUUAAAUAAAAUGAAAGCUGUAUUUCUGGUCUCCUGCAUUUUGUUGCUGUCGGUAGCAGCUGUUGUAUAUGCAGACGAGUGUACUGGUAUGUGUACAGCGGAUUGGACCCCAGUUUGUGGAGACAAUGGCGUGACAUAUGGAAACAACUGUACCCGUAUCUGCAGCGGCGCUGGUUUUGCAAAAAAUGGCAAUUGUUUGUAGAUUAUGAUCAACUUAUAUUAAAAGAAAGACUCAAAUUGAAGAUGUAAACUGUAGUAAAGAAAAGAUUAAAAAAUAAAUGGC
Mercenaria mercenaria is the source of this 397-nucleotide long non-coding RNA. RefSeq lists it as uncharacterized. NCBI's taxonomy places the organism in Eukaryota, Metazoa, Mollusca, Bivalvia, Venerida, Veneridae. The transcript is spliced from 5 exons. The record is from RefSeq and is a predicted model, not a curated record.